UGGGGAAUAUUGGACAAUGGGCGAAAGCCUGAUCCAGCAAUGCCGCGUGAGUGAUGAAGGCCUUAGGGUUGUAAAGCUCUUUUACCAGGGAUGAUAAUGACAGUACCUGGAGAAUAAGCUCCGGCUAACUCCGUGCCAGCAGCCGCGGUAAUACGGAGGGAGCUAGCGUUGUUCGGAAUUACUGGGCGUAAAGCGCGCGUAGGCGGUUUAUCAAGUCAGGGGUGAAAUCCCGGGGCUCAACCCCGGAACUGCCCUUGAAACUGGUUCACUAGAAUCCUGGAGAGGCGAGUGGAAUUCCGAGUGUAGAGGUUAAAUUCGUAGAUAUUCGGAAGAACACCAGUGGCGAAGGCGACUCGCUGGAAAGGUAUUGACGCUGAGGUGCGAAAGCGUGGGGAGCAAACA
RNAcentral lists this ribosomal RNA (402 nucleotides) under uncultured bacterium. RNAcentral's name for it is "bacterial SSU rRNA". It matches the Rfam family "Bacterial small subunit ribosomal RNA", at positions 355 to 774 of the family's 1533-position model. The record is from RNAcentral.